UACGUAGGGUCCAAGCGUUAAUCGGAAUUACUGGGCGUAAAGCGUGCGCAGGCGGUUGUGCAAGACCGAUGUGAAAUCCCCGAGCUUAACUUGGGAAUUGCAUUGGUGACUGCACGGCUAGAGUGUGUCAGAGGGGGGUAGGAAUUCCACGUGUAGCAGUAAAAUAGCGUAGAGAUGUGGAGGAACACCGAUGGCGAAGGCAAUCCCCUCGGGCGUGUACUGACGCUCAUGCACGAAAGACGUGGGGAGGCAAACAGGAUUAGAUA
This 266-nucleotide ribosomal RNA is filed under the name uncultured prokaryote. RNAcentral's name for it is "partial 16S ribosomal RNA". It matches the Rfam family "Bacterial small subunit ribosomal RNA", at positions 524 to 784 of the family's 1533-position model. The record is from RNAcentral.